Molecule: ribosomal RNA, 253 nt
Filed under: uncultured bacterium
Lineage: Bacteria
Description: partial 16S ribosomal RNA
Rfam family: Bacterial small subunit ribosomal RNA
Source: RNAcentral
UACGUAGGUGGCAAGCGUUGUCCGGAUCUAUUGGGUUUAAAGGGUGCGUAGGCGGCUUUGUAAGUCAGUGGUGAAAUAUGGCAGCUCAACUGUCAGGGUGCCAUUGAUACUGCGGAGCUUGAGUACAGAUGAGGUAGGCGGAAUUGACGGUGUAGCGGUGAAAUGCUUAGAUAUCGUCAAGAACACCGAUAGCGAAGGCAGCUUACUGGGCUGUAACUGACGCUGAGGCACGAAAGUGUGGGGAUCAAACAGG